RNAcentral lists this ribosomal RNA (404 nucleotides) under Fusobacteriota bacterium. Its description in RNAcentral is "Fusobacteria bacterium partial 16S ribosomal RNA". It matches the Rfam family "Bacterial small subunit ribosomal RNA", at positions 355 to 776 of the family's 1533-position model. The record is from RNAcentral. Lineage: Bacteria; Fusobacteriati; Fusobacteriota.
UGGGGAAUAUUGCACAAUGGAGGGAACUCUGAUGCAGCGACGCCGCGUGAGUGAUGAAGGACUUCGUUUCGUAAAACUCUGUUCUAUGGGAAGAAAAGGACUGUACCAUAGGAGAAAGCUCCGGCUAAAUACGUGCCAGCAGCCGCGGUAAUACGUAUGGAGCGAGCGUUGUCCGGAAUUAUUGGGCGUAAAGGGUGCGCAGGCGGCUUUACAAGUUGGAUGUGAAAUAUUGUGGCUCAACCACAAACGUGCAUCCAAAACUGCAAAGCUUGAGUUAAGGAGAGGUAAGUGGAAUUCCUGGUGUAGCGGUGGAACGCGUAGAUAUCAGGAGGAAUACCGGUGGCGAAGGCGACUUACUGGACUUAAACUGACGCUCAGGGACGAAAGCGUGGGGAGCAAACAGG